AACAGAAUUGCACGUUGUCGAGACAAGAAAGUUGGAUAAGAUAAAAUAUAAGCGCUUUAUAUAGAUAGAUUUUUUUCCAAACAAGCCAUUCUCCUCCGAUAUUCUUUGUUACUUUCACAUUUGCAAGGACUCUCUAGAAAAAUAUAGUGUACCUUAAUCUAAUCUAUUCUGAUAACGUGUCACCUGCAUGUCGGUGACAAACCAACUAGACUAUCGCUUACAUUCUCUACAUUAAGGAUUAACGUGUCAAGCAAAUUACAGCCAACGUUCGCAGAAAAAAAAACAAAUCUCAAACUGGUCUGUAAAAAUAUAAAUUGCUACAAUAAUAAACUAUCUACUACAUUCUCGAAAAAAACGUGCACCAAGUGUUACAUAUCUAUGCAUGAAGCACAAUGCGAAGAAACGCAAUGAGGUGUCCGAGUGUCGAGAGCUGGAACAUUAUUUUCCGACUUUAGUAAAGAGAGAGACCGACAACGAGAUAUGCGAUUUGUACAAAUAACAAUUAAUUAUUAUUGACGAAAGUGAGUUAGUGACAAUUCGUGUUAUCAAACAUUAUUCGUGAUCGAGUGGGGUGAAAUUCUGAUGUCGAAUUUUGGCACUUUAUCCAUAUUAAACGAGACUUGCUCGACUCGAAACAAAGACGCUCGCUGAUCACCUGAGACUUACCAUCAUUGCAGGCGGCGAGGGAAAACCCAUAGUGGUGGUAGUCGUAGGUAGAAGUUGCGUCAUUCCUUGACCCUGUAACACAGCCAGUAACAUGCCAUAUGCCAGGAUGCAUGCAUCACACUCACCUAAAGAGUGCUAACUGACGAGAAAGUUACUUCGUUACGGUGUUACACAGAGCGCGAAAGGGUCCCACGACGAACGAUGACUUAAAUUUACGGAUUUAAGUAAAAAGCUGAAUGAUACUACGUGAACUAUGAUACUUAGCACGCCUCUUAACGAGCUAUAAUAAAUGUGAAGAAUUGCUAAUAAUUUCUUCCAAGUGAGAAGGCGAGCGUUUAAACAUUGAAAUAAUCCCGUGAGAAACAAAAAUAGCAUAUAUGAUAUCUAUGGAUCUACGUUUCGGAGAUCUACAUUUCGUAAUGCGUUUUAUUAAGAAACAAUUGUUCUAUUCGGAUAAUAAUGCAUAACAACAAUGAUGUGUACAUGUGCGUGUAUUCUCGUGUAUCAACAAUCAGAAAAAGCGUGCUGGGAAUUAUUUUACGGAGACCGAAGAUGAAAACGUCAAGACUUACCAUGGGCCGAUAGCCAGCACCAGUAGUAGCUGCCAUUGGCUGAGGUGACCAUCCACCAGCUGGACCCGUUUUUGCGGCGUUCUUCGGUUUCAAAAGAUCCUCUAAACUCUAAACCAUCGUCACGGAAUUUCUAAACAGCAGCGUGCAAAAGCCUCUAAACGUAAAAUUAUGCUUGCAUUGCACAAAUACUCAUGAGCAUGCAAAUUAUCAUAAUUAAAUUGUAAACUAAUAAAAUAACGAUCGCAUACAUACACAACACAGAGCGUUAUCGCGCGUUCUAUGAAUAUACCAACGAUUAACCAGAAAGUGAUGUAAUCAUCUAUCUUUCUUUUGGAGUGAUUUUUGCGAUGUCGAAAAUAUUAUAAAUAAAUCAGGCACGUUUAUCUACUAGUGCACAGAUGGCUAAAAUUACAUCACACUUAUCUUACGUCUUCACAUCUUUAGACAUAAACAAUCACGGCGACUUACCGAUCGCAAUAAAGUACAAAUGAUAAAUCAAAAGUGCGAUUUCUUGGACAAUAUACAAAAGUCAAAAAAAUAUGAAGACACAUAUAUCUAAAAGAUGUCUCUUAAGUUUACACGUAUUAUUUCUAGAUAUAAACUUUCACAGUACAGAAUGCGCAAUAUCGUGCUGCGACGCAAAGAGGCGAAAGAAAAAGAAAAGACUUGGACGGAGAGAAAGAGAUAGAGAAAACAGCGAGGGUGCGACCGUCAUGCAAUUAGCGUGUGGGUUAAUUUAGGCAUUCCCGUCACCUGACAUCGGCUGCUUUGCCGGCGAGCCGUACCCCACGGGGACUUGGGCUUGGGGAGGAAUACCGUAGCCGACCAUCGGCGCGCCGGUCAUCAUGGACUGUUGGCCGGCAGCGUCGUUCAUGCCGCUGAACAUCGCGGCACCCGCCGGCGGCAUUUGUUGUUGUUGCAGCGGCUGCUGCUGGGCGGUGAUCGCGGCUUGUUGCUGGACCAUCGGCGCCGGACGCGACGGAGACCCGCCCAGUGCCAUGCGGAUGCUGUCGUUGAGAUCGUCGAAGGCGCUCUUGUUAGCGGGGGGGCCUGGGGCCGUCGCCGUCGCCGCCGCUGGUCUACCAUGUGACACUCCGGUUGGGGAUAGUGCACGCGGUGCGGCACCAACGUUUGCGGCAGCAACGGGCGCGGGUGGCGGUGGUCUAGGUGGCGGCGUGGCAGUGGAGGAUGUCUUGCCGACGGCGGAGGAUGCCGUCGACGCCACCACCUCGGCCGCCGCAGCGUCCCCGUCGCCGUUUGUUGCGGUCUUCAGCAUCGCGGCGGACCCAUCGCCCCCCGCGAAGAGAUCCGCUUGACCGGCACUGAAGAGGUCUCCGCCUGACGCCGUUGUUGUCGCUCCUGCUGCUGCUUGCGCCGCUGAUUCGUUCAUCGCACCGCCGCCAACAACACCACCGCCGGCGUUUUGAUCGAAGAGCCCGAAGGCGCCCGCGUUCGUCGCCUGUUGACCGCCGGCGGUACCGAGGGACGGGAAAUCGGACAUGAAGGGAUUAGGUACGGACGCGGCCGUUCCUGGGACGCCAGCUUGCGCAGAAAGUGAUCAAGACGCUGCUGCACCAAACAAAUCCACGAUCGGCUGGUUGGCAUUAUUGGUCGGUGAACUGAGGAAGGGAUUUGUGCUAGUACCCGAUGGCGAUUGUACUUUUGCCUGCAAUAUAUACAUUGAGAAUCAGUAUCAUGUUUUAUACACGAAGAAUAUAUUCCCGAGCGCGCUACAACAACAGAAAAAUGCUUAAAGUAUCAAGAAGGUAAGUUGGAAGAAUACUUUGACAUGAAUAGUCAUCGCGCACACACAAUCCCAACUUUAUCCAUUUAAAAUGAAAAUCAUGCGGAAUCAAGUAACUCGAUUAUGAAAAAUUUGUCUAAUACCUUGUAUUGAUUCAUGGCGGCUUCCUCUUCCGCAAGAGCUUGCUGUCGCAGCGCCUCAUCGAUGUGGCCAUUCCCAGUUUGGUCGAGCCUUGCAUUGCUGGCUGCUGUUCCGAACGCGGUACUGGUGGAAGACAGGGCGGACACUCCCGACUUUACAUUGGUUCUAUUGCUGCUUUUGGGCGAUGAUGGGAUGUCGGAGAUGUGCGGUGUCAAUUGGACGGAAGAAAACAAAAGAGGACGGACAAGAAGAAUACGGAAGGUCCGUUUCAGCGAGUUUGUCAAAUGUGGCGAGAGAGAGGAGCGUAAAGGAAAAUUUGAUAAUUGAAAACAAAGGAGAAGAGAGACAAACAAAAAAACAAAAAUACAAACGUGUAGUACGUAUAGAUGUAACAAUGCGCGUAAAAAUGCAUAGUGUGCAUCCAUUCGUACACUCACAUGCAACCCUUCUCUUUCUCUCUCUUCUUCUCACCCUGGCACUCUUUUUCUCUUUCUCUCCCUCUUAUUCUCUCCCUCUCUUUCUUUUUCUUUCAUUCGCAAUUUUACUGUCCAAUUCUUUACUAUAUGUCCUAAUAUACACAUGCAUUUAUUGGUGUUCUAUUUUCUGUAAUAAAAAUAACGUCAAGCUUGCGUAUCAAAUCAAAUCAUAUUAUAAUCACAUUAAUGUGUAAAUAUAUAUCGUUCAAUUAUUUUAUAUAAUUUUAAAAAUAGUACUGAGCUUGCUACAAUAAUAAAAAGCCAUUUUGUACAUGAUAAAUACAUGUGCAUUAAAACCUUAUAUAGUAUUCUCUCUUCAUUAUUCCAAAACAAAUUGUUUUAAGAAUUUUAACGGUAAUCUCAAUUUAAACUGUUAUAUCCAAGCUAUAUGAGUUUCUAUACCAAUGGAUAAGAAAUAUACUUUGUAUUUACAAAUUUCAAUUAUUAGAAUAAAAUUCCAUUAUUCAUAAUAGAUUUAAAAAGCAAUGUAUAAGCAAUUAAAAUUAAAUUAUUGAUUUACUGUUAAUCGCAAUUAAGACAAUUUAUUUUACAGCGUGCUUAAUAUCUACUAUAAUCAAACUAUAGGGAAACUACGCCAAUUACCUAAGAUUAAACAGAUUAUAAAUUUAUUCAUGCAAUAUACAUGAACGGUAAAUUGGAAUUGGUAAUGUCAAAAGUACAAGUAUAAUUUUCGACGAGAAGUACAUAUAUAUAUAUAUAUAUAUACAUAAAUAAAUAUUAAAUACCAAAAAUUUAGAGACACAGCGUGGAUAUCUUAUAAAUGGAUUAGGAUAUACAAAUAAAUUUUCAAAAAUUCUGUGUACAACUAAAUGUCAAAUGUCAUUGGAUAAAAUUAACCUGAAAUAUCCAGGAAAUACCAUCGAUAAACUUUGUAAAUUGGAAGAUAACUGUCGAAAAAGAUACAACUUUCCAAAAAUAUUUGUUCAAGACUUCUCACGACAUUUAUUUAAAGAACAUAAUGAAUACUUAGCAUUUCUUUAUAUGAGUUUGAAAUGGGUUGUAUAAGUGGGAAAUUAUGAUAUUCGAGAUAAACGAAUGCAAUUUUGUGUUUAAAUAAUUCUUAUGCGUGUGCAUGUGCAAUAAACAUAUUUUGUUUAAAUACUCAUAUUAAGAAGCUUGUAAAGAUGUGUAUAGAAAAAGGCGUUUUUGAUCUUAAAAAAAAUGUACAAUGAGACGAAAAAUGGUGGAUUUGGGAGAAGUAGAGAAGGAGAAGUAUAUCGAUUUUGAUAGCAUUCAGUGUAGGGACGUUUAGAAUUAUUCCUACAUCGAUCAUUAUGUGAAAUUUAAAUGAAUCGAAUAUAAAUGGGCAAAGAAAUUAGCAUACCUUGCUGAUUGCGUCGGCGUAUUUGCGGCUGAGCCCUUCUUUCCUUCCAAGGAAGCGAGAUGUUGCUCCAAGGCGUCCAAUAAACUACUUGGUGCCUAAAAAGCAAUUUGUCAGUCAUUCAUAGGGCCAUUAGAAUCAUGAGUGAGGUGCAAGAUAGAAUGAAUCAGCUGUGCAUUUAACUUGGAAAUUUCUCUGCGCUAAAACGCAUGCAUUUAUUUUUAGAAGAUUUCGUGAGUUAGUCAUAAAUAUUUUCUUUGAAAAUGUUAUAAACGAAUAUUCAAUGAAAGAGUAAUCGACGGUAAAAUCGGCUCACAAAAUCUGCCAAAAUAAAUAUCACCAAUUAUCUUUAUGCUGCUCUAUACUAGAUCACACUAAUUCUACCUCGUUAAGAUAUAAUCAGUGUUGAUAUUACCUGUCAGUAAUGUACAAUAGGAAGAAACAAACGAAAAUAUUACUUUAUCGGUUGGCUAGUUAAAUAAUUUUUUUCACUUCGUUAAUUAAUCU
This is a non-coding RNA of Nylanderia fulva, 5448 nucleotides long. The record is from RefSeq and is a predicted model, not a curated record. Lineage: Eukaryota; Metazoa; Arthropoda; Insecta; Hymenoptera; Formicidae.